This 32-nucleotide non-coding RNA is filed under the name Rattus norvegicus (Norway rat). Lineage: Eukaryota; Metazoa; Chordata; Mammalia; Rodentia; Muridae. The record is from RNAcentral.
UCUGAUGUCACAAACCACACGUCACACUAGGC